Molecule: ribosomal RNA, 376 nt
Filed under: uncultured bacterium
Lineage: Bacteria
Description: bacterial SSU rRNA
Rfam family: Bacterial small subunit ribosomal RNA
Source: RNAcentral
UACAGAGGGUGCAAACGUUGUUCGGAAUCACUGGGCAUAAAGCGCAUGUAGGCGGCUCCGUAAGUGUCGGAUGAAAUCCCACGGCCUACCCGUGGAACUGUUCGGCAUACUGCGGUGCUAGAGGAUGGUAGAGGAGAGCGGAACUCUUGGUGGAGCGGUGAAAUGCGUAGAUAUCAAGAGGAACACCGGUGGCGAAGGCGGCUCUCUGGUCCAUUUCUGACGCUGAGGUGCGAAAGCUAGGGGAGCAAACGGGAUUAGAUACCCCGGUAGUCCUAGCUGUAAACGAUGGGCACUAACUAGAAGUCUCUCCUGUGAGGUUUCUGGUGAAGCAAAUGUGAUAAGUGCCCCGCCUGGGAAGUACGGUCGCAAGGCUAAA